CCACGCUGUAAACGAUGUCGACUUGGAGGUUGUGCCCUNGAGGCGUGGCUUCCGGAGCUAACGCGUUAAGUCGACCGCCUGGGGAGUACGGCCGCAAGGUUAAAACUCAAAUGAAUUGACGGGGGCCCGCACAAGCGGUGGAGCAUGUGGUUUAAUUCGAUGCAACGCGAAGAACCUUACCUACUCUUGACAUCCACGGAACUUGCCAGAGAUGGCUUGGUGCCUUCGGGAACCGUGAGACAGGUGCUGCAUGGCUGUCGUCAGCUCGUGUUGUGAAAUGUUGGGUUAAGUCCCGCAACGAGCGCAACCCUUAUCCUUUGUUGCCAGCACUUCGGGUGGGAACUCAAAGGAGACUGCCGGUGAUAAACCGGAGGAAGGUGGGGAUGACGUCAAGUCAUCAUGGCCCUUACGAGUAGGGCUACACACGUGCUACAAUGGCGUAUACAAAGAGAAGCAAACUCGCGAGAGCCAGCGGACCUCAUAAAGUACGUCGUAGUCCGGAUUGGAGUCUGCAACUCGACUCCAUGAAGUCGGAAUCGCUAGUAAUCGUAGAUCAGAAUGCUACGGUGAAUACGUUCCCGGGCCUUGUACACACCGCCCGUCACACCAUGGGAGUGGGUUGCAAAAGAAGUAGGUAGCUUAACCUUCGGGAGGGCGCUUACCACUUUGUGAUUCAUGACUGGGGUG
This 687-nucleotide ribosomal RNA is filed under the name uncultured prokaryote. RNAcentral's name for it is "bacterial SSU rRNA". It matches the Rfam family "Bacterial small subunit ribosomal RNA", at positions 795 to 1482 of the family's 1533-position model. The record is from RNAcentral.